This 1332-nucleotide ribosomal RNA is filed under the name uncultured bacterium. RNAcentral's name for it is "bacterial SSU rRNA". It matches the Rfam family "Bacterial small subunit ribosomal RNA", at positions 28 to 1381 of the family's 1533-position model. The record is from RNAcentral.
GACGAACGCUGGCGGCGCGCCUAACACAUGCAAGUCGAACGAGCGAGAGAGAGCUUGCUUUCUCGAGCGAGUGGCGAACGGGUGAGUAACGCGUGAGGAACCUGCCUCAAAGAGGGGGACAACAGUUGGAAACGACUGCUAAUACCGCAUAAGCCCACGGUGCCGCAUGGCACAGAGGGAAAAGGAGCAAUCCGCUUUGAGAUGGCCUCGCGUCCGAUUAGCUAGUUGGUGAGGUAACGGCCCACCAAGGCGACGAUCGGUAGCCGGACUGAGAGGUUGAACGGCCACAUUGGGACUGAGACACGGCCCAGACUCCUACGGGAGGCAGCAGUGGGGAAUAUUGCACAAUGGGGGAAACCCUGAUGCAGCGACGCCGCGUGGAGGAAGAAGGUCUUCGGAUUGUAAACUCCUGUUGUUGGGGAAGAUAAUGACGGUACCCAACAAGGAAGUGACGGCUAACUACGUGCCAGCAGCCGCGGUAAAACGUAGGUCACAAGCGUUGUCCGGAAUUACUGGGUGUAAAGGGAGCGCAGGCGGGAAGACAAGUUGGAAGUGAAAUCUAUGGGCUCAACCCAUAAACUGCUUUCAAAACUGUUUUUCUUGAGUAGUGCAGAGGUAGGCGGAAUUCCCGGUGUAGCGGUGGAAUGCGUAGAUAUCGGGAGGAACACCAGUGGCGAAGGCGGCCUACUGGGCACCAACUGACGCUGAGGCUCGAAAGUGUGGGUAGCAAACAGGAUUAGAUACCCUGGUAGUCCACACCGUAAACGAUGAUUACUAGGUGUUGGAGGAUUGACCCCUUCAGUGCCGCAGUUAACACAAUAAGUAAUCCACCUGGGGAGUACGACCGCAAGGUUGAAACUCAAAGGAAUUGACGGGGGCCCGCACAAGCAGUGGAGUAUGUGGUUUAAUUCGACGCAACGCGAAGAACCUUACCAAGUCUUGACAUCCCUUGACAGACAUAGAAAUAUGUAAUCUCUUCGGAGCAAGGAGACAGGUGGUGCAUGGUUGUCGUCAGCUCGUGUCGUGAGAUGUUGGGUUAAGUCCCGCAACGAGCGCAACCCUUAUGGUCAGUUACUACGCAAGAGGACUCUGGCCAGACUGCCGUUGACAAAACGGAGGAAGGUGGGGAUGACGUCAAAUCAUCAUGCCCUUUAUGACUUGGGCUACACACGUACUACAAUGGCGUUAAACAAAGAGAAGCAAGACCGCGAGGUGGAGCAAAACUCAGAAACAACGUCCCAGUUCGGACUGCAGGCUGCAACUCGCCUGCACGAAGUCGGAAUUGCUAGUAAUCGUGGAUCAGCAUGCCACGGUGAAUACGUUCCCGGGCCU